RNAcentral lists this ribosomal RNA (188 nucleotides) under uncultured bacterium. RNAcentral's name for it is "partial 16S ribosomal RNA". It matches the Rfam family "Bacterial small subunit ribosomal RNA", at positions 1305 to 1500 of the family's 1533-position model. The record is from RNAcentral.
CUGCAACCCGACUCCACGAAGUUGGAUUCGCUAGUAAUCGCGCGUCAGCCAUGGCGCGGUGAAUACGUUCCCGGGCCUUGUACACACCGCCCGUCAAGCCAUGGGAGCCGGGGGCGCCUGAAGUCCGGGACCGCGAGGACCGGCCUAGGGCGAAACUGGUAACUGGGGCUAAGUCGUAACAAGGUAAC